Molecule: ribosomal RNA, 405 nt
Filed under: uncultured bacterium
Lineage: Bacteria
Description: partial 16S ribosomal RNA
Rfam family: Bacterial small subunit ribosomal RNA
Source: RNAcentral
GACGAACGCUGGCGGCGUGCUUAACACAUGCAAGUCGAACGAGUGGCGAACGGGUGAGUAACACGUGGGUGAUCUGCCUUGCACUUUGGGAUACGCCUGGGAAACUGGGUCUAAUACAGGAUAGUGCAAGAUGAGCCCGCGGCCUAUCAGCUGGUGGGUGGGGUAAUGGCUACCAAGGCGCGACGGGUCGCGGGCCUGCGAGGGUGUACGGCCACAUGGGGACUGGGGCACGGACCAGACUCCACGGGGAGGCAGCGGUGGGGAUAAUUGCACAAUGGGCGAAAUCCUGAUGCGGCCAUGCCGGGUGUAUGAAGAGGGCCUUCGGGUUGGAAAGUACUUUCAGCGGGGAGGCGUUACUCGCAGAAGAAGCACCGGCUAACUCCGUGCCAGCAGCCGCGGUAAUUC